Molecule: ribosomal RNA, 434 nt
Filed under: uncultured bacterium
Lineage: Bacteria
Description: partial 16S ribosomal RNA
Rfam family: Bacterial small subunit ribosomal RNA
Source: RNAcentral
ACGGGAGGCAGCAGUGGGGGAUAUUGCACAAUGGGGGAAACCCUGAUGCAGCGACGCCGCGUGAGUGAAGAAGUAUUUCGGUAUGUAAAGCUCUAUCAGCAGGGAAGAAAAUGACGGUACCUGACUAAGAAGCUCCGGCUAAAUACGUGCCAGCAGCCGCGGUAAUACGUAUGGAGCAAGCGUUAUCCGGAUUUACUGGGUGUAAAGGGAGCGUAGACGGCGAGGCAAGUCUGAUGUGAAAGCUAUGGGCUCAACCCAUAAACUGCAUUGGAAACUGUCUUGCUUGAGUGUCGGAGAGGUAAGCGGAAUUCCUAGUGUAGCGGUGAAAUGCGUAGAUAUUAGGAGGAACACCAGUGGCGAAGGCGGCUUACCGGACGAUAACUGACGUUGAGGCUCGAAAGCGUGGGGAGCAAACAGGAUUAGAUACCCUGGUA